RNAcentral lists this long non-coding RNA (795 nucleotides) under Ananas comosus (pineapple). RNAcentral describes it as "long non-coding RNA (ACOM_LNC029526)". Lineage: Eukaryota; Viridiplantae; Streptophyta; Magnoliopsida; Poales; Bromeliaceae. The record is from RNAcentral.
CCUUUCGUUACACAACUAGCCCCCUCAACUAAAUACAAUUUACUUUCAGUUUAGCAGCUCAGGAUCAGAUACUUUUCAUCGGCCCUUCUGAAUGUUCGUUUCCGCUCAAAUUUGACGGCUAGGCUCGGUUUUUGCUAAAUAAACGGAAUAUAUCUUAAUUUCUCAGUUUCGAUCAUUUUUGGUCACUGAAAGCUCUACCGAACUGAAAUUUCUAAUAGAUAGCAGUCGGAUUUUAUUUUCCACCUUUCGGGUGUCAGAAUGACAUAAAACUUUAAAUCUAGCCUCAUAAAAAUAAUUCUGAUAUAUUCUCCAGUUUUCAUAAUUUUCUGACACUGUGCAUUUUCUGCUAAAAUAUCAGCCCCGUUUCUCACAGAAAAUUUUAAAUCUUCUGUUUUCAUUCCGAUUUCAGCACAAGUCAUUUCCAACUUAUGUUUUACUUCUUUAAAUCUAAUAAAAAUAGUAUCUCACACUAUUUUUAUUUAUAUUUACUUUUAUAUUAAAAUUCGGUAUAUUACACACUCACUCACUUUCAGUUUGUUCUCUCUUUCUUUACUCUUUCCUCCUCUACCCGAUACACUUUCUCCCUCUUCUCCUUCUCCUCCUCCAUCAUAUGUUUUUUUCUUCUUCCCUAUUUUUAUUCUUUCCAACCUCCACCUUUUCUCAAGUACAUCUCUCUCUCUCUUUCUCUCUCUCUCUCUCUCUCUCUCCCCCCCCACUCAUCUUUUACUCAUUUCUUUUUAUCGGUCUCCCGUAACGCCUCCUCUCUUAAAGAGCAGAUCGUCUCUUUGCCAUUAA